AGAGUUUGAUCCUGGCUCAGGACUAACGCUGGCGGCGUGCUUAACACAUGCAAGUUGAACGGAGCAAGUUUAUAGCAAUAUGAGCUUGCUUAGUAGCGGACGGGUGAGUAACGCGUGAGCAAUCUGCCUUUGUGAGGGGGACAACACCGGGAAACCGGUGCUAAUACCGCAUGAGACCACGGCUUCGAUUGGAGCAGAGGUAAAAGAUUUAUCGCACAAAGAUGAGCUCGCGUCCCAUUAGCUAGUUGGUGAGGUAACGGCCCACCAAGGCGACGAUGGGUAGCCGACCUGAGAGGGUGAUCGGCCACACUGGAACUGAGACACGGUCCAGACUCCUACGGGAGGCAGCAGUGGGGAAUAUUGGGCAAUGGGCGCAAGCCUGACCCAGCAACGCCGCGUGAGGGAAGAAGGUCUUCGGAUUGUAAACCUCUGUCCUAUGGGACGAAAAAAAUGACGGUACCAUGGGAGGAAGCCCCGGCUAACUACGUGCCAGCAGCCGCGGUAAUACGUAGGGGGCGAGCGUUGUCCGGAAUUACUGGGCGUAAAGGGUGCGCAGGCGGCUUGUCAAGUCAUGUGUGAAAUACCCAGGCUUAACUUGGGGGGUGCAUAUGAAACUGGCGAGCUUGAGUGCAGGAGAGGGGAGCGGAAUUCCUAGUGUAGCGGUGAAUGCGUAGAUAUUAGGAGGAACACCAGUGGCGAAGGCGGCUCUCUGGACUGCAACUGACGCUGAGGCACGAAAGCGUGGGGAGCAAACAGGAUUAGAUACCCUGGUAGUCCACGCGGUAAACGAUGGAUACUAG
RNAcentral lists this ribosomal RNA (800 nucleotides) under uncultured bacterium. Its description in RNAcentral is "bacterial SSU rRNA". It matches the Rfam family "Bacterial small subunit ribosomal RNA", at positions 8 to 819 of the family's 1533-position model. The record is from RNAcentral.